Molecule: ribosomal RNA, 1444 nt
Filed under: uncultured Bacteroidota bacterium
Lineage: Bacteria; Pseudomonadati; Bacteroidota
Description: bacterial SSU rRNA
Rfam family: Bacterial small subunit ribosomal RNA
Source: RNAcentral
GAUGAACGCUAGCGGCAGGCUUAACACAUGCAAGUCGAGGGGCAACAUGACCAGCGAUGGUUGAUGGCGACCGGCGUACGGGUGCGUAACACGUGAGUAACAUACCCAUAACAGUGGGAUAAUCCGGGGAAACCCGGUCUAAUACUGCAUAUGAUGUAAUAGGGGCAUCUUUUUUACAUUAAAAUUUUGGUGGUUAUGGAUUGGCUCGCGUAACAUUAGUUAGAUGGCAGGGUAAUGGCCUACCAUGACAAUGAUGUUUAGGGGUUCUGAGAGGAAGGUCCCCCACACUGGAACUGAGACACGGUCCAGACUCCUACGGGAGGCAGCAGUGAGGAAUAUUGGACAAUGGUCGGAAGACUGAUCCAGCCAUGCCGCGUGCAGGAAGAAGGUUCUAUGGAUUGUAAACUGCUUUUAUAAGGGAGCAAUAAUGGCUAUGCGUAGUCAGAUGAGAGUACCUUAUGAAUAAGCACCGGCUAACUCCGUGCCAGCAGCCGCGGUAAUACGGAGGGUGCGAGCGUUAUCCGGAUUUAUUGGGUUUAAAGGGUGCGUAGGCUGGCAAGUAAGUCAGCGGUGAAAUGCUAUGGCUUAACCAUAGCUGUGCCGUUGAUACUGUUUGUCUUGGAUACGAUUGGAGUGAGAGGAAUGUGUAGUGUAGCGGUGAAAUGCAUAGAUAUUACACAGAACACCGAUAGCGAAGGCAUCUCACUAAGUCGGUAUUGACGCUGAUGCACGAAAGCGUGGGGAUCAAACAGGAUUAGAUACCCUGGGUAGUCCACGCAGUAAACGAUGAUAACUAGUUGUUGGAGAUAUAAUUUCAGUGACCAAGCGAAAGCGAUAAGUAUCCACCUGGGGAGUACGACCGCAAGGUUGAAACUCAAAGGAAUUGACGGGGGCCCGCACAAGCGGAGGAACAUGUGGUUUAAUUCGAUGAUACGCGAGGAACCUUACCCGGGCUCGAACGGCAGAGUAAUAUAUAAGAGAUUAUAUAGCCGCAAGGACUUUGUCGAGGUGCUGCAUGGUUGUCGUCAGCUCGUGCCGUGAGGUGUCGGCUUAAGUGCCAUAACGAGCGCAACCCUUGUCGUUAGUUACCAUCAGGUAAAGCUGGGGACUCUAGCGAGACUGCCGCCGUAAGGUGCGAGGAGGGGGGGGAUGACGUCAAAUCAGCACGGCCCUUACGUCCGGGGCGACACACGUGUUACAAUGGUAGGUACAGAGGGGCGCUAGUCAGUGAUGGCGUGCGAAUCUCGAAAUCCUAUCUCAGUUCGGAUUGGAGUCUGCAACUCGACUCCAUGAAGUUGGAUUCGCUAGUAAUCGCGCAUCAGCCAUGGCGCGGUGAAUACGUUCCCGGGCCUUGUACACACCGCCCGUCAAGCCAUGGAAGCCGGGGGCGCCUGAAGUUCGUAACCGCAAGGAGCGACCUAAGGCAAAACCGGUAACUGGGGCU